Molecule: long non-coding RNA, 451 nt
Organism: Lepus europaeus (European hare)
Lineage: Eukaryota; Metazoa; Chordata; Mammalia; Lagomorpha; Leporidae
Exons: 3
Source: RefSeq, a predicted model, not a curated record
UCCCAAGCCAAUCAGAAUCCGCCACUUUCCACCUUCACUGACGGCGGAGGGCUGGAGGGCAGCGACGCUGGACACCUAGGAAGCUGACCACCACGACACGUGAUCUUGUGAAGAAACUUGGGGCCUGCCUCUUGGAGAAAGAGAGAAUAUGUUAGAGCCAGAACAAAUCACCAGACAUGUGAAUGAAGUCAUCUUUAAGACACCAGACUCAAUCAAGGCAUACACCUUUCAGUACUGACAAGAAGGCUGGCGUCACAUUUGGGCAAUGUCUCAAGAGCUGUCUGAAGACUCACUGAACAUCAAGUCUGUGAAAACACGUUUCCUUCUCAAUGGAAAUAUAAUCACCCCCUGAUGUUCUUCAAAAGAAACAGAGUUCUGAUCUGAAAAUCAGAUGGUUUAUAGUAUUAGGAAGAAAACAAUAAAUUUGAAAGUAUAAUCAAUUGGAAAGCAA